Molecule: ribosomal RNA, 253 nt
Filed under: uncultured bacterium
Lineage: Bacteria
Description: partial 16S ribosomal RNA
Rfam family: Bacterial small subunit ribosomal RNA
Source: RNAcentral
UACAGAGGGGGCAAGCGUUGUUCGGAAUUACUGGGCGUAAAGGGCUUGUAGGUGGCCGACUAAGUCCGACGUGAAAUCCCCAGGCUUAACCUGGGAACUGCGUCGGAUACUGGUUGGCUUGAAUCCGGGAGAGGGAUGCGGAAUUCCACGUGUAGCGGUGAAAUGCGUAGAGAUGUGGAGGAACACCAGUGGCGAAGGCGACUCUUUGGCCUGUAACUGACGCUGAGGCGCGAAAGCGUGGGGAGCAAACAGG